This 526-nucleotide ribosomal RNA is filed under the name uncultured bacterium. RNAcentral describes it as "partial 16S ribosomal RNA". It matches the Rfam family "Bacterial small subunit ribosomal RNA", at positions 355 to 874 of the family's 1533-position model. The record is from RNAcentral.
UGGGGAAUUUUGGACAAUGGGCGAAAGCCUGAUCCAGCAAUGCCGCGUGUGUGAAGAAGGCCUUCGGGUUGUAAAGCACUUUUGUCCGGAAAGAAAUCCUUGGCUCUAAUACAGUCGGGGGAUGACGGUACCGGAAGAAUAAGCACCGGCUAACUACGUGCCAGCAGCCGCGGUAAUACGUAGGGUGCAAGCGUUAAUCGGAAUUACUGGGCGUAAAGCGUGCGCAGGCGGUUUGCUAAGACCGAUGUGAAAUCCCCGGGGCUCAACCUGGGAACUGCAUUGGUGACUGGCAGGCUAGAGUAUGGCAGAGGGGGGUUAGAAUUCCACGUGUAGCAGUGAAAUGCGUAGAGAUGUGGAGGAAUACCGAUGGCGAAGGCAGCCCCCUGGGCCAAUACUGACGCUCAUGCACGAAAGCGUGGGGAGCAAACAGGAUUNGAUACCCUGGUAGUCACGCCCUAAAUGAUGUAACUAGUUGUUGGGGAUUCAUUUCCUUAGUAACGUAGCUAACGCGUGAAGUUGACCGCCU